RNAcentral lists this ribosomal RNA (1272 nucleotides) under Gammaproteobacteria bacterium. RNAcentral's name for it is "partial 23S ribosomal RNA". It matches the Rfam family "Bacterial large subunit ribosomal RNA", at positions 143 to 1534 of the family's 2925-position model. The record is from RNAcentral. Lineage: Bacteria; Pseudomonadati; Pseudomonadota; Gammaproteobacteria.
GCUGGUUAUCCUGCACUGAAUCCAUAGGUGUAGGAGGCGAACGCGGGGAACUGAAACAUCUAAGUACCCGUAGGAAAAGAAAUCAAUUGAGAUUCCGUCAGUAGCGGCGAGCGAACGCGGAUUAGCCCUUAAGUCUAUUUAGUGUUAGUGGAACACUCUGGAAAGUGUGGCCAUAGUGGGUGAUAGCCCCGUACACGAAAGCGCUUUAUAGAUGAAAACGAGUAGGUCGGGACACGUGUUAUCCUGACUGAAGAUGGGGGGACCAUCCUCCAAGGCUAAAUACUCCUGACUGACCGAUAGUGAACCAGUAUGCGUACAAGCAGUGGGAGCCCUUCGGGGUGACUGCGUACCUUUUGUAUAAUGGGUCAGCGACUUACUUUUAGUAGCAAGGUUAACCGUUUAGGGGAGCCGUAGGGAAACCGAGUCUUAAUAGGGCGUUUAGUUGCUAGGUGUAGACCCGAAACCGGGCGAUCUAUCCAUGGGCAGGUUGAAGGUGCCGUAACAGGCACUGGAGGACCGAACCCACGUAUGUUGAAAAAUGCGGGGAUGACCUGUGGAUCGGAGUGAAAGGCUAAUCAAGCCGGGAGAUAGCUGGUUCUCCUCGAAAGCUAUUUAGGUAGCGCCUCGGACUUAUACCUACGGGGGUAGAGCACUGUUUGGGCUAGGGGGUCAUCCCGACUUACCAACCCCAUGCAAACUCCGAAUACCGUAGAGUACAAUCACGGGAGACACACGGCGGGUGCUAACGUCCGUCGUGGAAAGGGAAACAACCCAGACCGCCAGCUAAGGUCCCCAAAUCACAGCUAAGUGGGAAACGAUGUGGGAAGGCCCAGACAGCCAGGAGGUUGGCUUAGAAGCAGCCACCCUUUAAAGAAAGCGUAAUAGCUCACUAGUCGAGUCGGCCUGCGCGGAAGAUGUAACGGGGCUCAAACUGGAUACCGAAGCUGCGGGUGCAGAUUUAUCUGCGCGGUAGAGGAGCGUUCUGUAAGCCGUUGAAGGUGAACUGAAAGGUUUGCUGGAGGUAUCAGAAGUGCGAAUGCUGACAUGAGUAACGAUAAGGGGAGUGAAAAACUCCCCCGCCGAAAGACCAAGGGUUCCUGUCCAACGCUAAUCGGGGCAGGGUGAGUCGGCCCCUAAGGCGAGGCUGAAAAGCGUAGUCGAUGGGAAACGGGUUAAUAUUCCCGUACUUGUAAUAACUGCGAUGGAGGGACGGAGAAGGCUAGGCGUACCGGGCGUUGGUUGUCCCGGGGAAAGUGUGUAGGCUGAGGACUU